This 460-nucleotide ribosomal RNA is filed under the name uncultured bacterium. Its description in RNAcentral is "partial 16S ribosomal RNA". It matches the Rfam family "Bacterial small subunit ribosomal RNA", at positions 338 to 795 of the family's 1533-position model. The record is from RNAcentral.
CCUACGGGAGGCUGCAGUGAGAAAUAUUGGUCAAUGGACGAGAGUCUGAACCAGCCAAGUAGCGUGAAGGAUGACUGCCCUAUGGGUUGUAAACUUCUUUUAUAUGGGAAUAAAACGUUCCAAGUGUGGGAUGUUGUAUGUAACAUAUGAAUAAGAAUCGGCUACAUCCGUGCCAGCAGCCGCGGUAAUACGGAGGAUCCGAGCGUUAUCCGUAUUUAUUGGGUUUAAAGGGAGCGUAGGUGGAUUGUUAAGUCAGUUGUGAAAGUGUGCGGCUCAACCGUAAAAUUGCAGUUGAAACUGGCAUUCUUGAGUACAGUAGAGGUGGGCGGAAUUCGUGGUGUAGCGGUGAAAUGCUUAGAUAGCACGAAGAACUCCGAUUGCGAAGGCAGUUCACUGGACUGCAACUGACACUGAGGCUCGAAAGUGUGGGUAUCAAACAGGAUUAGAUACCCUUGUAGUC